GAGACAACUUGCAAUUUUAUGUCUCACAUUUGUAACUAUACAUUGUGUCUGAAUGUUUGUGCAUAAUAAUUGUUAAUUAUAAAAUCCAGAACAAUUUGAAUAAUUUAUUGGCCAAUUUACAAAUGAACCAAAGUGUCGAAUACUGAUGCAAGGAGAACUUUAAACCGGAAAUGCUAAACUUUCGUGACGCCUAGUGCAUGUACCGAAUUUCUUUGCUAACUGACUAGCACCAGCAACGAGCAGCUGAUUGUUAUCGAUAGUUACAAUAUGUCUGUUGUCGACAAAAUUUGUCAUUAUCAGCGAAAUUUACAGAAAUGCAGUGAUAACAAAGAUCGAAUAUUGCAUUGCAUUUCAAAAUUGUAUAAUCUGCCUGUGACAGUGCAACAUCUUCAAGAAACAGGAGUAGGAAGGACUGUGAAUAGUUUUAGGAAAUAUGAUGGUACUGUGGGUGAUGCUGCUAAGGCUUUAGUUUUUAAAUGGAAGGUAAUGGUAGCGGAUGAAGAAACCAGCGAAGAUGAGGAUGAAAUUUGUGUACCUGAUGUUCAUGAAAAUCAUACCGAGAGCCAGGAAUCAAAGGUAGAGGAUGUGAAAGAAUAUAGUUCUUCUUCAUUGGAACAGUCAUCAGAAUCAAAACAUAGGCAUAAAUAUAAAGAAAUCAAGAGUGAAUCGUCUACAAAACAGAAUGCAACGCAACUGUCAAAGUCUAAAUCAGAAGAAAAGCAUGAAAAGAAACAUUCCUCCAAACAUUAUGCGCAGAAUGAAAGGAAGUCGAGUGAAAAGAGCAGUAAAAGCAGUGUGAAAAAGGAAGAAGGUCACAGCUCAACAAAGCAUAAUUCUAGUAGAAAUGAUGAUAUGAAAAAAAAUAGUGACAAGAUGACCGAGGUUAAUGAAAACAAUAGCAGAAAGAGAAAAUUAGACAAUUCAAGUUCCUCAAUGAAAGAAAGCAAGAAAAGAAAGUUGUCAGAGAGCAAAAGCGAUGAUGAGAAGUCUCAGUUAUCUGUGUCGGAAAAGAAUCAUUCUCGUUCGAAAUCUUCGGGAAUUCAGAUCGAAGUGAAGAUUAAAGUAAAAGAUGAUCAAGCUUUAUCGAGUGAUAAAAACAAACAAGAUAAACUGGAGAAGUAUUCGCAGGAGAGAUCCAAGAGCAGUUCCAGCAAGCCUAAGUCGAUAGAAUCGAGCAGUAAAGAAAAGGACAGCGGUGAAAGACAAAAACAUAAGAAAGAAGAAUAUGUGAGUCAUAAGAAACAUGAUGCAAAAAAGGAUUCCAGUCAUCACUCUAACAAGGAGACUUCCAAAUCAAAAGUUAGUUCCUCUAGUGAUAAAGAUCAUCUUAAGAGUAAAAACAAAGAUAAGAAAAAAGAGCAGAAAGAGGAGAAGAAACAAGAGAAAAAGAAAGAGACGAAGGUUAAAUUGAUGCAGGAAAUAAACGGUGACGAAGGAAUCGACUGUAAUUCUGGUACAAGCUUUGCAGAGGCGCUCGGUAUGUGCACCAUGCCUCAGCCGUCGAAAAAACGUCAUGUUAAUUCGUCCAGCACAAGUUUGAAUAAAUCCAUUAAAACGGAAUGUAUGUCGCCUCCGAUUAAUAGCAACAAAAAGACGCCAGCAGCGUGCACAGUGCAAGUUGAGACAGAAUGCAGCAGCAACGUUUCCAAUCCGCCGUCUCUUCUGGCACCGAAUGUGAAGCUAGAACCCUUGAGCGUGGAUUUGGCGUCCACAUUACCUGAAAUCAGUCCCAAUUACAAGCCACUGCCAUACAUUAAUCCUGUUCAUCGUAGAGAAGAAGUCAAACACUUUGAUGAUAUGAUUUAUGUUAAGAAUCAAAGGACAAAAGUAUAUUCUGGUAACAAAGGUGGUUACACAAGCGUGCCGAGUUUGUACGACAUAUGCAUUAGGGUAUUGAUAGAAAAUAUCGAUGCUCUCGAGUAUACCGGCGGUGUACCGUAUGACAUAUUAAAGCCAGUCCUAGAACGAGCCACGGCCGAUCAGUUAUUUAUGUUAGAGCAUUAUAAUUCGUAUCUUGUGGAAGAUACAGACACAUUAUGGCAAUACCAUUGUAAUCGCGAAUUUAGAAAUAAAGGGAGGCAGGAGAUGGAAUCAUGGCGCGAGAUGUACAUGCGCUGCCUGGACGAAAGAGAAGCGAAACUGAAAACGCUCACUGCGAACAUCAAACAAUCCAUAGACAAGUCUGUUCCAGUGAGAUCCACCAAACUUGCAUAUGUGGACAAUAUCGUGAAGCCGCCGCGAAAUAUAAUGAAGAAACAGGCGAAGUAUGGCACAGCCAAUGCCACGCCUAGUACUAUCUCCAGUGUAAAGAAAAAGUUAGCCGCCGGUGGUGCAGUUAAUAAUGCAACAAAUAUUGCUGUACCGCCACCACCGAUGGUUCGGUUUAAAGCAUCAACGUCAAACAGCAUGAAGAAGACAAAAGCACCGCUUAUGGCAAAGGCGUUGCAGUUAAUAAAGGGACGUUACAAACGGUAGUUCUACAAAUAGUACGAAACGUUGACUACCAAUCUCAACAAAUAGUUAAAUCCAUACAUUUAUCAUCACCUCAUACUUACAACAUUACGGUUUUAACGCGACAAUAGAUUUCCACGCAUUCUUGCGUAACACAUCGUCUUUCGGUUAAAACUUGUGUUCAGCAGAUCACGUAUAUGCAGCAGUUUUUAAUACAAAUAAAAUAAUUAUAAGCGACAUUAAGUAUAUGUAAUUAUUCAGCUCUACAGAGAAACUUGUUAUAGUAUCUAGCAAAAACACCAUAAUUUCGAACAGUCGUGACGAACUUGUUUAGAAGACUGUUAGAUCUAUCAAAGCCACGAUUUCGGGUCCCAAACAUGAGAAAAGACGAAGAUAACGAAAGGUUUAGAUUAAUUUAUUAUUUCUGUAGUAAGUAUAGAAAUUAUAUCAAUUGCUCGAAGUUGUCAGCUAAAAGUCCUGACAUUAAUAAAUUUUUUUUUUUUUACGAGAACGCAUUUUAAAUGUUUGUGUACCUAUAUUUAUUAAUUGUUUCAAACAGAUAAAAUUUUAGAACAGUUAUUUUUGUAGAUGAACUCUGGGGCUAUAUACUUCCCAAUCUUUAAUUCUUGGAUUUUUUUUUAAUUAUACAUACAAAUUUUCUUGAGAUUGUGUUUUAGCAACUCGUCAAAUAUCAAUUUCGGUGAAACACGGAAGUGUAUUCCGUGUUUUGAUCAGUACUGUGAUUUUCUCGAUAUUUUUUAAAUGCAGUCUUAAUGCGCGCGCAUACAUUUUGUAAAUAUUAUAUAAUGGCAAGAGUAGA
Linepithema humile (Argentine ant) is the source of this 3271-nucleotide non-coding RNA. NCBI's taxonomy places the organism in Eukaryota, Metazoa, Arthropoda, Insecta, Hymenoptera, Formicidae. The record is from RefSeq and is a predicted model, not a curated record.